This 403-nucleotide ribosomal RNA is filed under the name uncultured bacterium. RNAcentral describes it as "partial 16S ribosomal RNA". It matches the Rfam family "Bacterial small subunit ribosomal RNA", at positions 28 to 526 of the family's 1533-position model. The record is from RNAcentral.
GACGAACGCUGGCGGCAUGCCUAACACAUGCAAGUCGAGCGAGCGGCGGACGGGUGAGUAGUGUAUGGGGACUGCCUGAUCGAGGGGGCUAACUAGUGGAAACGGUGGCUAAUACCGCAUACUAUCGGAUAACCCAUAUGGGAUUAGCUAGUAGGGGGGGUAAAGGCUCACCUAGGCGACGAUGUCUAGCUGGUCUGAGAGGAUGAUCAGCCACACUGGGACUGAGACACGGCCCAGACUCCUACGGAGGCAGCAGUGGGGAAUAUUGCACAAUGGGCGCAAGCCUGAUGCAGCCAUGCCGCGUGUAUGAAGAAGGCUUUAGGGUUGUAAAGUACUUUCAUCGGGGAGGCGUUACCCGCCGAAGAAGCACCGGCUAACUCCGUGCCAGCAGCCGCGGUAAUAC